This is a long non-coding RNA of Toxotes jaculatrix (banded archerfish), 496 nucleotides long. RefSeq lists it as uncharacterized. The transcript has 6 exons. Lineage: Eukaryota; Metazoa; Chordata; Actinopteri; Toxotidae. The record is from RefSeq and is a predicted model, not a curated record.
GUGUUUGUAGGUGCUGCUGCCGCUGGCUGUGUGGGGGACCCAGCUGUGAGGCCGUGGCCAGGGUGGAGCUCAGGAUGGAGGAGGGUGACCUGGGGAGGAGAGGCCGUGGCCGUGGUGCAGCUCCAGUCCGCCACCUGCUGGUGAUGCAGAGGAUGACGAGAGCCCAGCAGGUAGCGGUCGGCGUCUGAGCGGGGCAAGAAGUCGGAUCAGGCAGUGGACGGCGUGGAGAGCGGGUCGGAGGAGGUGACGCCGAGGCCCUGAUCCGGAGGGCCGAUUGAGAGGAGGCGAGCGAGGGCGACUCCAGGCAGCGUUCCUGUCCUAAUAAAAACAUGCACGUGUUAUUCCUGGCUGGGCUUCUAUUGGUGGUGUGGUUCUGGUUCAAGUCAUGUGGCAGAAGAAUGGCAUGGAGGACUUCAAGGUGCAGUCCAGGAUGUGGGAGACGAUCUGGAGCGAUGUCUGAAAUCAGGUGAGUGAAUGUCUGUCUGACAACAUAGCU